RNAcentral lists this ribosomal RNA (433 nucleotides) under uncultured bacterium. Its description in RNAcentral is "partial 16S ribosomal RNA". It matches the Rfam family "Bacterial small subunit ribosomal RNA", at positions 29 to 507 of the family's 1533-position model. The record is from RNAcentral.
AACGAACGCUGGCGGCAUGCCUAACACAUGCAAGUCGAACGAGACCUUCGGGUCUAGUGGCGCACGGGUGCGUAACGCGUGGAAACCUGCCCUUAGGUUCGGAAUAACUCCCCGAAAGGGGUGCUAAUACCGGAUAAUGUCUUCGAACCAAAGAUUUAUCGCCUUUGGAUGGGCCCGCGUUGGAUUAGCUAGUUGGUAGGGUAAAAGCCUACCAAGGCGACGAUCCAUAGCUGGUCUGAGAGGAUGAUCAACCACACUGGGACUGAGACACGGCCCAGACUCCUACGGGAGGCAGCAGUGGGGAAUAUUGGACAAUGGGCGAAAGCCUGAUCCAGCAAUGCCGCGUGAGUGAUGAAGGCCUUAGGGUUGUAAAGCUCUUUUACCCGGGAUGAUAAUGACAGUACCGGGAGAAUAAGCUCCGGCUAACUCCGUG